This 164-nucleotide ribosomal RNA is filed under the name uncultured bacterium. Its description in RNAcentral is "partial 16S rRNA". It matches the Rfam family "Bacterial small subunit ribosomal RNA", at positions 355 to 511 of the family's 1533-position model. The record is from RNAcentral.
UAGGGAAUCUUCCACAAUGGGCGCAAGCCUGAUGGAGCAACGCCGCGUGUGUGAUGAAGGCUCUCGGGUCGUAAAGCACUGUUGUAUGGGAAGAAAUGCUAGAAUAGGGAAUGAUUCUAGUUCGACGGUACCAUACCAGAAAGGGACGGCUAAAUACGUGCCAG